CUGAUUCGAGUUUUAUGGGCGGGUAACACAUGUCACCCCAUCCUUUUCCAUGUCUUCUUCCCUUAUUCGCCAUAGUACACUUUUUUACAGAGGUAUAAGAGGGAGGGGUUUACAUCGGAGAGAGAAAGGGGAGGAUCGACGGCGUUGCCGCCAUAUCUCCGUCUUGUACCGCCGUGAUGGCCACCUCCCCACCUUUUCUCAGUUUACACCUCCCCCUCUCUCUCACACACCUAAACAGUGACGCAAAUGACUUUCGCCGGGCCAUCGUAGCUCAAUCACAAUGCCGGUUACUGUCGUGGGAAUCAGAAUUGGUUUCCGGUAACAUAUAGGAUGGCUGGUACGAUGAUGAUGUUUGCCUCUCUGGCUGGUGGCGAUUGUGAUUGCAGAACAUCAUUCAAUUAAUCAGAGGCUAUGAUGAUCUUGGUCAGAUCAUUACUUGGCGUGGCAUCAUCGAGGAUGGCAGGUGCAUUGUUCUCCGCUUGCAACCGAUGGUGCAGCCAUGAUAGCUUAAUAGCUUGGUCUGAGCCUCAUCAUGUUGGUUUCAAGGUGAUUAACCUAUAUUGUAGUCGAUUUUACGGCUGAACAUCGUGCUUUUCAGUUCAUGUUUGGCAAUUUUUCAUGUCACUGAUCGGUAUGGGAACAAGCUAUCCAGGGAAAAUGUUGUUGAUCCUAUCCAACAGUCAUUUGGACCUAGAGGUUGCAGUUACAGAUCAUUAAGAUUAAGGGGUUCAGUUGGGGUCAAAUCAGCUAUGGAACACACAAACUAUCGAGUUAACCGGGCCCCGACGUGAUUUACUAUCCGAGGUCUUCACAGUUCCCUCAAACCUCAAAUGAAAUGUUGUAUCUUAGAACCGACCAUGGUCUCCGGCCGGCUGGCCACCCUCUUGGCCUUCGGGUAAGACCAGAGGCGAAGCCCUAAGUGUGAGUAGCUGCUGAUGCGUGACUAUCUUUGGGUGUUUCCCUUGUCCGGCUAAUCAUCCAUCCAACAUUAAACAGCUACGAAUGGCGGUGGGAAUUUGAAGGUAUCGCGUUAGAGGGGCGGUGGUGUGCGUAUCCUUUAUUGAAUUUCAGCACCGGCGGCAUCAAAAUAUGUGACCAGAGUAUCACACUUUAUGGCCGCCAGCAAAAUCGGUAACCAUCGUGUCUUCUACAUUAUUAAUUUGGUUGGCUGUUUAUUGGUUUUUGCGGAUUCGUUUACAGAACCCUAAAUCGACCCAUCACGCUCUCAGGUUAUUGUUAUCGAUUAUGCAUUUUCUCUUUAUUGUUAAUUUGAUUGUGCGUAUUAUGUUUAAUUACUGCCAUCGUCAUUGAGGUUUAUGGAUAUGUUUUAGAUUAGGGGAUAAUGGUGUAUUUGGGGUUGUAGACUCUGAGAUAGAGCCUUUUGUAUUUGUGAACGUGUGGUUCAGAAUAGUAAUACCUUACUAUACUCAAUGGGGCCAGAGUUUGGUUGUGGGAGUUCGACUGUAUCACGGUUUAAAGUGAGUAUAGUUGUUAUGUAGUCGAUGAUCGGAAAAAUAUGUUAAGUUGGAAAUAAGAGGAAAUUGGUGGUACUAUGAUUUGAAAUUGGGAAGGUCGUUGAGUUUCAUAAUAGGGAUGAGCUCGGUACUGAACCGGUACCGGAACCGAAAGUACCGGUACCAAAAAUCCCCAAAAGUAGGUACCGGUACCGAAUAUGCCUGGUAUGGUAUGGUUUAGUACUGGUACGGUACCGGUAUUUGAGGGUAAAAACCGGUAGAUACUGGUACCAAACCGGUACAGAAAAUGUCAAAAGUCGGUACCGAAAAUGUACCCGGUUCGGUAAAUUCGGUACCGGUACGAGUAACGGGUAUCAUUUGCUCAUCCCUAUUUCAUAAUUUUUCUCCAUAUAAUUAAUGACUCUUGUAGUGGAAUGCUAUACUUGAAUGCAGAAUGAUAGUGACAGUGUUCCUUCAAAAGUGCUUUCAAGAAUGUCAUCUUUCACAAGACUCAAGAGUAGCAGUUAGGCUAUUGAGAACCCCUUGGUGCAAUUCAAAAUAAGUUGGAUACUCGGAUCAUCAUGUUAAUGUUGUUCAUUUCAGCAGAAUCGGUUGUUGUCCAGUUCAAAAUAUGUUGUCCAAAUAUGCAGAAGGAACACCAAUAAUUAGGUGUUCCUGAGCAGUAUGCAACAACUUCUUGAAGGGGAUAACUGAUAAGAACUUGAAAAUGAUGAUUCUUGUGGAUCGUAACCCAGUUUUCCAGUUCACCAUGAAAAAUGAUGUUUCUGGUGGAUCGUAGCCAUUUCACCUUAUUUAUACAGGUUCAUGCUUAUUUUUGAUUUGGACCUCUAGGUGCAUUAUUUAUGAGUUAAUUACUUAUAUAGAUUCCUUGCUGUUUAUGAAUUAACUGAAGUUAUCAUGUUUAUUUUAUCAAACCGUAAUCUUUUGUAAUUAUACUAUAGUUCCAUCUA
This is a long non-coding RNA of Helianthus annuus (common sunflower), 2425 nucleotides long. RefSeq lists it as uncharacterized. The transcript is spliced from 5 exons. Lineage: Eukaryota; Viridiplantae; Streptophyta; Magnoliopsida; Asterales; Asteraceae. The record is from RefSeq and is a predicted model, not a curated record.